Molecule: ribosomal RNA, 253 nt
Filed under: uncultured bacterium
Lineage: Bacteria
Description: partial 16S ribosomal RNA
Rfam family: Bacterial small subunit ribosomal RNA
Source: RNAcentral
UACAGAGGUCCCAAGCGUUGUUCGGAUUUACUGGGCGUAAAGGGUGCGUAGGUGGCGGGGUAAGUUCGAUGUGAAAUCUCCGAGCUCAACUCGGAAAUGGCAUUGAAUACUAUCUUGCUUGAGGGUCGGAGGGGAGACUGGAAUUCUCGGUGUAGCAGUGAAAUGCGUAGAUAUCGAGAGGAACACCAGUGGCGAAGGCGAGUCUCUGGACGACUCCUGACACUGAGGCACGAAAGCUAGGGGAGCAAACAGG